Molecule: non-coding RNA, 458 nt
Organism: Oncorhynchus mykiss (rainbow trout)
Lineage: Eukaryota; Metazoa; Chordata; Actinopteri; Salmoniformes; Salmonidae
Source: RefSeq, a predicted model, not a curated record
CAGCUGUGUUUGCUAGGGAUGGAGAAAAAGUGUGACACCAAUCAGGCCCUCGAGGACUGGAGUUGCCCACCCCUGCUCUAGUGACUACAGCAUCAGACCGAAACAUGGCUCACUCGGGAUAUGUUGCCAGAGUCGAUACAGCCACCCGGAUUCUUCAUGCAUCACUCCGACAGAAACAAACAUCUCUCUGGGGAGUGUUCCCUUACAUUCCAACCUGGUGCAUAUCUAUCUACAGUACCUGGUGCCUAAAAAGGGCUGUGUUUGUGCCUUACUGACUUGUGGUCACUUGGUGACUUGUCAUUUGGAACAUCUAUUUCAUAUUUGUUGUUACGAGAUGUAUGUACUGUUGCUUCUGUUGUAAAUUAACUUUAUGUAUUUAAGACCUUUUUUGAUAUUCACAUUUAUUUAAUAUGUGUACUUACUGAGGACUUUUAAUCUGUUUUUAAUGUAACACAUUC